AGAUAGUCCGGACAUCCUGGCUGCUCGUAAGGUGGCGGCGCACAUCGGCAGCGAACACCACGAGGUGAACUUCACUGCAGAGGAAGGCAUUCGCGCCGUGGAGGAGGUCAUCUUCCACCUGGAGACCUAUGACAUCACCACCAUCCGAGCCUCAGUCGGAAUGUAUUUGGU
Oryzias melastigma (Indian medaka) is the source of this 171-nucleotide long non-coding RNA. RefSeq lists it as uncharacterized. The transcript is spliced from 3 exons. NCBI's taxonomy places the organism in Eukaryota, Metazoa, Chordata, Actinopteri, Beloniformes, Adrianichthyidae. The record is from RefSeq and is a predicted model, not a curated record.